GUUGUGUCAGUUUAUCAAACCC
Molecule: microRNA, 22 nt
Filed under: Chrysemys picta (Painted turtle)
Lineage: Eukaryota; Metazoa; Chordata; Testudines; Emydidae
Also listed under: 4 other names
Description: cpi-miR-599-3p
Gene: cpi-miR-599-3p
Source: miRBase by way of RNAcentral